CGAUCUUCGGAUUGGUGGCGACCGGCGCACGGGUGCGUAACGCGUACGCAACCUACCCUUUACAGAGGGAUAGCCCGGAGAAAUUCGGAUUAAUACCUCAUGGUAUCAUUAGAGGGCAUCUGAAAAUGAUUAAAGAUUUAUCGGUAAAGGAUGGGCAUGCGUGACAUUAGUUAGUUGGUGAGGUAACGGCUCACCAAGGCGACGAUGUCUAGGGGUUCUGAGAGGAUGAUCCCCCACACUGGCACUGAGAUACGGGCCAGACUCCUACGGGAGGCAGCAGUAGGGAAUAUUGGUCAAUGGGCGAGAGCCUGAACCAGCCAUGCCGCGUGCAGGAAGACGGCCUUCUGGGUUGUAAACUGCUUUUAUCAGGGAACAAAAAGCUCCUGCGGGGGAAAUUGCGUGUACCUGAAGAAUAAGCACCGGCUAACUCCGUGCCAGCAGCCGCGGUAAUACGGAGGGUGCAAGCGUUGUCCGGAUUUAUUGGGUUUAAAGGGUGCGUAGGCGGUCAAUUAAGUCAGUGGUGAAAUCCUGCAGCUCAACUGUAGAACUGCCAUUGAUACUGGUUGACUUGAGUACAGACGAGGUAGGCGGAAUUUAUGGUGUAGCGGUGAAAUGCAUAGAUACCAUAAAGAACACCUAUAGCGAAGGCAGCUUACUAGACUGUAACUGACGCUGAGGCACGAAAGCGUGGGGAGCGAACAGGAUUAGAUACCCUGGUAGUCCACGCCGUAAACGAUGAUUACUCGAUGUGUGCGAUAUUACAGUACGCGUCCAAGCGAAAGCGUUAAGUAAUCCACCUGGGGAGUACGCUCGCAAGAGUGAAACU
Molecule: ribosomal RNA, 826 nt
Filed under: uncultured bacterium
Lineage: Bacteria
Description: bacterial SSU rRNA
Rfam family: Bacterial small subunit ribosomal RNA
Source: RNAcentral